RNAcentral lists this ribosomal RNA (989 nucleotides) under human gut metagenome. RNAcentral's name for it is "bacterial LSU rRNA". It matches the Rfam family "Bacterial large subunit ribosomal RNA", at positions 1938 to 2925 of the family's 2925-position model. The record is from RNAcentral.
AACUAUAACGGUCCUAAGGUAGCGAAAUUCCUUGUCAGGUAAGUUCUGACCCGCACGAAAGGCGUAACGAUUUGGGCGCUGUCUCAGCUGUAGACUCGGUGAAGUCUUAGUACCUGUGAAGAUGCAGGUUACCCGCGACUAGACGGAAAGACCCCAUGGAGCUUCACUGCAGGUUGAUAUUGGGAUUUGAUGCAGCAUGUACAGGAUAGGUAGGAGGCAAAGAGAUGGAUACGCCAGUAUUCAAGGAGCCGCUGUUGGGAUACUACCCCUGUUGUAUUGGAUUUCUAACCGGACGACGUAGAGCCGUUGACGGGACAGUGUCAGUCGGGCAGUUUGACUGGGGCGGUCGCCUCCCAAAGAGUAACGGAGGCGCCCAAAGAUACCCUCAGCUUGGAUGGAAACCAAGCGCAGAGUGCAAAGGCAAAAGGGUGUUUGACUGCGAGACCUACAAGUCGAGCAGGGACGAAAGUCGGGCUUAGUGAUCCGGCGGUGCUGAAUGGAAAGGCCGUCGCUCAACGGAUAAAAGCUACCCUGGGGAUAACAGGCUGAUCUCCCCCAAGAGUUCACAUCGACGGGGAGGUUUGGCACCUCGAUGUCGGCUCAUCGCAUCCUGGAGCUGAAGUCGGUUCCAAGGGUUGGGCUGUUCGCCCAUUAAAGCGGUACGCGAGCUGGGUUCAGAACGUCGUGAGACAGUUCGGUCCCUAUCUGUCGUGGGCGCAGGAAAUUUGAGAAGAGCUGUCCUCAGUACGAGAGGACCGGGAUGGACGCAUCAAUGGUGGACCAGUUGUCACGCCAGUGGCAUAGCUGGGUAGCUAAAUGCGGAAGGGAUAAACGCUGAAGGCAUCUAAGUGUGAAACCCACUUCAAGAUGAGAUUUCCCAUUGCGCAAGCAAGUAAGACCCCUUAAAGACGAUAAGGUAGAUAGGUCAGGAGUGUAAGCAUGGUGACAUGUUAAGCGGACUGAUACUAAUAGGUCGAGGGCUUGACCGA